CGGGGAAGCCACUAGAUACAGAUGCUGGAGAAUUUGGGCUGGUUUCUUCUGCAUUUUAACAAUCCCUGGGGCUUUCUUUGGUUCUUUCUUUAUUUGAGUGAGGUUGAGAUCAUCUUUCUAUCAUGUCUCUGCAUUCAGUGAUAUCCAUAUUUAUCCAUGUUUGAAAAGACACAGACAUCAAUCUGGGUCUUACUCUGUCACGCAGGAUGGAGGCUGGAGUCCAAUGGCACAAUUGCAGCUCACUGCACCCUCAAACUCCUGGGCUCAAGGGGGCCUCCCAUCUUACCCUCCC
RNAcentral lists this long non-coding RNA (292 nucleotides) under Pan troglodytes (chimpanzee). RNAcentral describes it as "long non-coding RNA NONPTRT017055". The record is from RNAcentral. Lineage: Eukaryota; Metazoa; Chordata; Mammalia; Primates; Hominidae.